Molecule: ribosomal RNA, 253 nt
Filed under: uncultured microorganism
Description: partial 16S ribosomal RNA
Rfam family: Bacterial small subunit ribosomal RNA
Source: RNAcentral
UACGUAGGGUGCGAGCGUUAAUCGGAUUUACUGGGCGUAAAGCGUGCGCAGGCGGCCCGUUAAGACAGGUGUGAAAUCCCUGGGCUCAACCUAGGAAUUGCGCUUGUGACUGGCGGGCUCGAGUACGGUAGAGGGGGGUGGAAUUCCUGGUGUAGCAGUGAAAUGCGUAGAGAUCAGGAGGAACACCGAUGGCGAAGGCAGCCCCCUGGGCCUGUACUGACGCUCAUGCACGAAAGCUAGGGGAGCAAACCGG